GGAGUCGGCCGGACAGUCGCGCGACGCGCAAGCGUUUCGAGGAAAGUCCGGGCUCCACAGGGCAGGGUGCCAGGUAACACCUGGGCGGCGUGAGCCGACGACCAGUGCAACAGAGAAUAGACCGCCGAUGGCCCGCAAGGGAUCAGGUAAGGGUGAAACGGUGCGGUAAGAGCGCACCGCGCGCGGGGUCAACGUCGCGUGGCACGGUAAACUCCACCCGGAGCAAGACCGAAUAGGGGAGCAUGGCGCGGCCCGCGUCGCUCCCGGGUAGGUUGCUUGAGCUCAUCGGCGACGGUGAGCCUAGAGGAAUGACUGUUCAAGACAAAACCCGGCUUACAGGCCGACUCCCUUA
RNAcentral lists this RNase P RNA (352 nucleotides) under Rudaea sp. Its description in RNAcentral is "RNase P RNA component class A". It matches the Rfam family "Bacterial RNase P class A". From Rfam's summary of the family: Ribonuclease P (RNase P) is a ubiquitous endoribonuclease, found in archaea, bacteria and eukarya as well as chloroplasts and mitochondria. Lineage: Bacteria; Pseudomonadati; Pseudomonadota; Gammaproteobacteria; Lysobacterales; Rhodanobacteraceae. The record is from RNAcentral.